GGGGUGGAGAUGAGAUCCAGGGGGUGGAGAUGGGUAGGUUCAGGGGUGGAGAUGGGAUCCAGGGGGUGGAGAUGGGUAGGUUUAGGGGUGGAGAUGAGAUCCAGGGGGUGGAGAUGGGUAGGUUCAGGGGUGGAGAUGGGAUCCAGGGGGUGGAGAUGGGUAGGUUCAGGGGUGGAGAUGGGAUCCAGGGUGUGGAGAUGGGAUCCAGGGGGUGGAGAUGGGAAGGUUUAGGAUGGAGAUGGGAUCCAGGGGGUGGAGAUGGGUAGGUUCAGGGGUGGAGAUGGGAUCCAGGGGGUGGAGAUGGGUAGGUUUAGGAUGGAGAUGGGAUCCAGGGGGUGGAGAUGGGUAGGUUCAGGGGUGGAGAUGGGAUCCAAGGGGUGGAGAUGGUUAGGUUAAGAGGUGGAGAUGGGAUCCAGGGGGUGGAGAUGGGUAGGUUUAGGGGUGGAGAUGGGAUCCAGGGGUGGAAAUGGUUAGGUAUAGG
This is a long non-coding RNA of Cyprinus carpio carpio, 481 nucleotides long. The record is from Ensembl. Lineage: Eukaryota; Metazoa; Chordata; Actinopteri; Cypriniformes; Cyprinidae.